This 331-nucleotide unclassified non-coding RNA is filed under the name soil metagenome. RNAcentral describes it as "partial contains 5.8S ribosomal RNA, internal transcribed spacer 2, and large subunit ribosomal RNA". The stretch from base 1 to 120 matches the Rfam family "5.8S ribosomal RNA", at positions 35 to 154 of the family's 154-position model. The record is from RNAcentral.
GAUGAAGAACGUAGCGAAAUGUGAUAAGUAAUGUGAAUUGCAGAAUUCAGUGAAUCAUCGAAUCUUUGAACGCACAUUGCGCCCCUUGGUAUUCCGGGGGGCAUGCCUGUUCGAGCGUCAUUAUCACCCCUCAAGCUCAGCUUGGUGUUGGGGCUCACCGGUCACGGUGGCUCCUAAAGUCAGUGGCGGCGCCUCUAGGCCCUAAGCGUAGUAAUAUACCCUCGCUACAGGACCCUAGAGGAUGCUAGCCAGCAACCCCUAAUUUUUUUAAGGUUGACCUCGGAUCAGGUAGGGAUACCCGCUGAACUUAAGCAUAUCAAUAAGCGGAGGA